UAAAAUUACAUUUGACUUGUCUUUUUCACUAAAUAGUAUUUGUUAUUAAGCAACACUUUCCCAGUUAUAGUGUGCUAAGUAGACUAUGCCUUUAAUGGGUUUACAAUAUAGCCUUCCUACAAAUUUGAAAAGAGUCAUAUUCAAGCCCAGAGUUUCCUAUCUGGUAGAUGACAAGCAUGCCCAGGUUCCCAAGUGUGGCUGGUGAUGUGUAAUCCACAAAUAUUCAUUUAGCAAACAAACUUUUUAAAGUUUCUUUCCUUACCGGACAUGGUCAGGGGAGGAGUAACAAUCAUGGUCUGAUCUUCUGACCUAACCAGGGUGUGUCCAGUAUCAGACAACACUCUCUGGUCACUGGUCACAAGUGACUGGUGAUGAUCCAGAUUUGUUUGCAGGCAGCUCCAUGGAAACUCCAAGAUUCCACCAGGUGCUGACAGGUUUGGAGGGAGAAUGACGUCAUAAAACAGACAGUAGCCAAUGGAAUGGUCUGACUCUGAGCUGAAAGACAGGAGAGGGUAGGAGAUGAAGACCAGCUAUGAGUGACUUAACCUGGACAGACCAAGCGUAGCCCAGUGUCCAGAACAUCAAACUAUAGAAUGCUGCAUAAUGAGUGGAUCUUUCCUCCGCAGUCAACCUAAUCAAGUUGCAAUGAGAACAUUGGGUAAUAUAAAGAGCACUGCACAGCCUGAAGAAAGCAGGAAGCUCUGGAAUUUGCGAUGAUCUGAUCUUUCCAUUCGGGUGCUAUAAUUGGUUGUGGAGAGGAUGGAGAGGACAACACAACAAUGAGUUUUUGAUAAGAAUGGUGUCUCUCAGCCACAGUCACCUUGAAGAAAAAGAUCUGCAAUGUGUUUGACAGGCUGCAUUAAUACUUUAAAGGCACAGAAGACUGCAGUGAAGCAUACUGAACCUGAGAGAGUCAAGGGCAACUUCAGGCAAUCUGGUGAGGGAAAGCCUCCUGUUGAGGAGACGCUAUUUAUUAUAUCAUCUAAUGAAUGAGGUGUUGUUCAAGUCAUGUCUGAGGACUGGGAGAAUUACAGGUUGAGAAAAUGUCAAGUGCAAAGGCCCUAGAGGUAGAGCAACUAGAAUGUGCAUGGAGAGCUGAUCAUAAUCCCACGUGGCCCAGUAAAGAAGACAGUAUGGAGAGACCCACAGUGCGGGAUGGCAGAGGUUGAAGCUUAUUCUAGGACCAAGGGGAAAGCAGUGAUAUGCCGAAUGUGGUGUACACUUUUAUUUUGUUUUGCAAAUAAAGAAUAUCACUACUACCUAAAGCAUAUAAUCAUGAUGGCACCCACGAUGACAGAAGACGGCUGCGCAUGACGUUAUCAGGGAACAGAACGCCGCGUCAGUGGCGGCACAUCUUCCGAUCCUGGCUGUUUUAUAGGAAAGGGAUAUGUGGCCUUUCUUUCUUAUUCACAGAGGAAUAACUCCAGUGGAUGUGAAAAACAAAAGAGACUGAAAAGAAAAGGCUGCACCAUUCUGGAGUGGAAAUGGGAGGAAGGAACGAAACCUUCAAGGCAGGAAGGGGAUAUCUGCUGAAGUUCUACAGCUGGGCUUCUGCUAGGCACUCCCUGCUUGAUGUUGUUGUAUCCUGGGCUCUCAGAAGAGACAUUUUUUUCCCUUCUGUAUCUUUCCCUUUAUAUUCACAAGCUGUCCAUCUUAGUCGUCCUAACUCUGCUCCGAAUGUUUCUGCUAUCCAUUCAAUCAUUUAAUGGUUUCCUGAGUUGCAGUCUCCUCUUUGGCAUUUCCUUUCACGCAUUAUGUUUUCGGUGUUUCUCACAUUUUAAUUUACAGCUCACCCAAGAUGGAGCACUACUUGUUUGAACAGCUUGUGUGAUCCUACUGGAAACUUGGAGGCUUUCCUUUCUACCCCCCAGCUCCCGCCCUUUGCUU
This is a long non-coding RNA of Peromyscus eremicus (cactus mouse), 1887 nucleotides long. RefSeq lists it as uncharacterized. The transcript is spliced from 5 exons. The record is from RefSeq and is a predicted model, not a curated record. NCBI's taxonomy places the organism in Eukaryota, Metazoa, Chordata, Mammalia, Rodentia, Cricetidae.